AACUAUAACGGUCCUAAGGUAGCGAAAUUCCUUGUCGGGUAAGUUCCGACCUGCACGAAUGGCGUAAUGAUGGCCAGGCUGUCUCCACCCGAGACUCAGUGAAAUUGAACUCGCUGUGAAGAUGCAGUGUACCCGCGGCAAGACGGAAAGACCCCGUGAACCUUUACUAUAGCUUGACACUGAACAUUGAGCCUUGAUGUGUAGGAUAGGUGGGAGGCUUUGAAGCGUGGACGCCAGUCUGCGUGGAGCCAACCUUGAAAUACCACCCUUUAAUGUUUGAUGUUCUAACGUAGGCCCCUAAUCGGGGUUGCGGACAGUGUCUGGUGGGUAGUUUGACUGGGGCGGUCUCCUCCCAAAGAGUAACGGAGGAGCACGAAGGUUAGCUAAUCCUGGUCGGACAUCAGGAGGUUAGUGCAAUGGCAUAAGCUAGCUUGACUGCGAGCGUGACGGCGCGAGCAGGUGCGAAAGCAGGUCAUAGUGAUCCGGUGGUUCUGAAUGGAAGGGCCAUCGCUCAACGGAUAAAAGGUACUCCGGGGAUAACAGGCUGAUACCGCCCAAGAGUUCAUAUCGACGGCGGUGUUUGGCAC
Molecule: ribosomal RNA, 587 nt
Filed under: Klebsiella pneumoniae subsp. pneumoniae
Lineage: Bacteria; Pseudomonadati; Pseudomonadota; Gammaproteobacteria; Enterobacterales; Enterobacteriaceae
Description: bacterial LSU rRNA
Rfam family: Bacterial large subunit ribosomal RNA
Source: RNAcentral